Cryptomeria japonica (Japanese cedar) is the source of this 1735-nucleotide RNA transcript. RefSeq lists it as uncharacterized. The record is from RefSeq and is a predicted model, not a curated record. The transcript has 11 exons. NCBI's taxonomy places the organism in Eukaryota, Viridiplantae, Streptophyta, Pinopsida, Cupressales, Cupressaceae.
CUCUCCCCUAGUACUAGAGGCCAUGAACGCUUGGUAAGACUUCACAAUGAACUUUUUUCGGGCACACAUAAAAAUCUAGACCAUAUUCAGUAAUAUCGGCUUAAACCUCACUCUACCCUUAAAAUUUGUACCGUUGAGAGAACGUGUCCCAAAUCACUCACAUGAGAGAAGGAUCUUGUUCAAUUUGCUUUUAAAAUUGUCUCAACAGCAACGUUCUUUUACUUCAUCCAUCCCAGUAAAAGAAUUCGCCAAGAAAUCGUGAGAAGUCCAUCACUGACUUGGCCUCUGCAAAGUGCACAGUCGCUUCAACCCUGCUUCAUCAUAAACUUUGGAGGUUACCAAUAACCAUGGCGACUGAAGUAGAAGAGCUGGUGGGGUUCUUGUCGUCUCCUUCACCGCAGGUGAAAAAGGCAGCUGUGGAUAUUGUACAAGGACUGACUGGUUCUGAAGAGGGACUUAAGAGUCUGGCUAAUUAUUCCGAUACUCUAUUGGCUUCACUUUUGAAUCUUCUAGGCGAUAAAAAGGAGUUUGUUCAACCUGUAUUAGAGGCACUAAUCAAUCUGUCACAAGAGACUGCUUUAGCAGGAAAAAUGGUUGACAUUGGGAUAAUAGAAAGGGAAAUGGAGAUUUUGGGAAAAGUAGAUCCGAGCAUAAUUCAAUUGUUGUCCAUGCUACUUGUGAAUCUCACACAUUUAGAUUCAGGCGUGGAACGUCUCCUUCAGACAGGAACUGAAAAAUUGCAAGGUCUUUAUAUUGCCAAGCUUGUGAGAUUGUUUAGCACAUCUUCAAGUGAAAAUGAAGGAGUAGAGGAUCCAUAUGGACACAUUGGAUCUAUCCUUAUGAACAUAUCUCGGAUGGAAACAGGGAGAAAGCUCUUAUUAGAUCCUAAGUGGAGUCUUUUGAAACAAUUACUUCGACAAAUUGAUUCACCAAGUACUUUGAGAAGGAAGGGAGUUUCAGGCACUCUUAGGAACUGUUGCUUUGAAUCUGAAACCCAGCUAGCCAAUUUACUUUUAUUAUCUCAAUUUCUAUGGCCUGCCCUGCUUUUGCCUCUUGCAGGAAAACAGGAAUAUAGUAAAGAGGACACAAACAAAAUGCCUCUUGAGCUAGCUAAUCCACUUUCUCAUGAGCGUGAGCCAGAGAAUGACCCAGAAAUUCGUGUGCAGGCAGCAGAAGCACUCUACCUUAUUGCUGUGCAUGAGGGAGGACGUAAAGCUCUUUGGUCGGUCAAUGGUCCAAGGAUAUUAGAAAUUGGUUAUCAAUAUGAGGAAGAUCCAAAAGUGAUGGAAGCAUAUGAACGACUUGGCUCUUUGCUUGUUCAGUCUAAUGGAGUAGAAGAUGCGAAAUGAAUAGGAAUGUACAAUGGGAUUGACAAUGGUCUUUGGUUGAGUGGAAUGGUAUCUUCCAGUAGAAACUAUUUUAUCAGGGGCAAAACGUCAUGGACAGCUGAACAUUGCAUAAGAGCAUGAGUACUCACCAUAAUUCAACCACUUAUGCUCUACUGAAAUAGAAGUAUGAUUGAAGAUCAAGUGACCAUCAAUUGCAUGUUUCAUUGUUAUUAAGGCUUCACAUCAUGUCGGGCAACAUGAGCAGAACUAAAGGGGUUUGGUAGAGGAAAGCAGCCCUCACAUUCACCACAUCAGCAUGCAACUCAUCUUGAGGUUUAUCCUACAGUGCUACUACUGCAUCCUUAAAAUCAUGAUAUUUCUUUACUAUAAUUAAGUUUUAAGUGAAA